RNAcentral lists this ribosomal RNA (1201 nucleotides) under uncultured Bacillus sp. RNAcentral describes it as "partial 16S ribosomal RNA". It matches the Rfam family "Bacterial small subunit ribosomal RNA", at positions 151 to 1286 of the family's 1533-position model. Lineage: Bacteria; Bacillati; Bacillota; Bacilli; Caryophanales; Bacillaceae. The record is from RNAcentral.
GGGAAACCGGGGCUAAUACCGGAUGCUUGAUUGAACCGCAUGGUUCAAUUAUAAAAGGUGGCUUUUACCUACCACUUACAGAUGGACCCGCGGCGCAUUACCUAUUUGGUGAGGUAACGGCUCACCAAGGCAACAAUGCGUACCCAACCUGAAAGGGUGAUCGGCCACACUGGGACUGAAACACGGCCCAAACUCCUACGGGAGGCACCAUUAGGGAAUCUUCCCCAAUGGACAAAAGUCUGACGGACCAACGCCCCGUGAGUGAUGAAGGUUUUCGGAUCGUAAAACUCUGUUGUUAGGGAAAAACAAUUACCGUUCGAAUAGGGCGGUACCUUGACGGUACCUAACCAAAAAGCCACGGCUAACUACGUGCCAGCAGCCGCGGUAAUACGUAGNGUNGNGCAAGCGNUUGUNCCGGAAUUAUUGGGNCGUAAAGCGCGCGCAGGCGGUUUNCUUAAGUCUGAUGUGAAAGCCCCCGNGCUNCAACCGGGGAGGGUCAUUGGAAACUGGGGAACUUGAGUGCAGAAGAGGAGAGUGGAAUUCCACGUGUAGCGGUNGAAAUGCGUAGAGNAUNGUGGAGGNAANACNCANGUGGNNCNGAANGGCGNACUCUCUGGUNCUGUAACUGACGCUGANGGCGCGAAAGCGUGGGGANGCGAACAGNGANUUAGAUACCCUGGUNAGNUCCACGCCNGUAAACNGAUGAGUNGCUAANGUGUUAGAGGGUUUCCNGCCNCUUUNAGUGNCUGCAGCAAACGCAUUAAGCACUCCNGCCNUNGGGGAGUANCGGNUCGCAAGANCUGAAACUCNNAAAGGAAUUGNACGNGGGGNCCCGCACAAGCGGUGGAGCAUGUGGUUUAAUUCGAAGCAACGCGAAGAACCUUACCAGGUCUUGACAUCCUCUGACAACCCUAGAGAUAGGGCUUCCCCUUCGGGGGCAGAGUGACAGGUGGUGCAUGGUUGUCGUCAGCUCGUGUCGUGAGAUGUUGGGUUAAGUCCCGCAACGAGCGCAACCCUUGAUCUUAGUUGCCAGCAUUCAGUUGGGCACUCUAAGGUGACUGCCGGUGACAAACCGGAGGAANGGUGGGGAUGACGUCAAAUCAUCAUGCCCCNUUAUGACCNUGGGCUACACACGUGCUACAAUGGGCAGAACAAAGGGCAGCGAAGCCGCGANGGCUAANGCCAAUCCCACAAAUCUNGU